AUUUUUCUUUAACACCUGAAGGUCUGUUUGCUUUUUACCUAUCUGAUAGUUACUUCAGUUAUUUCUUACGAGAUUCAUAUUCGUAUGAAAAUUCGACCAUUGAAAGCAUUCAACCAACUGCUAACGGUACUCUUGUAGUGUAUGCAUUAAAUGCAGUAGGCCAGAAGUUCACUUUCCCUUUUGCAGAUUUUUCUAUUUUUUCAAAUACAGCAAAAAUAAAAUUCGAUCCCGAUGGGCAUCUCAGACUUUAUGCUGAUAAUUCUGAGUCGGUUGAUCUGUUGGGAGAUCAUUUAAGUGAAUGUGAUUAUCCAAUGUCUUGUGGUAAUUACGGCCUCUGUUCAAAUGGAGAGUGUUCGUGCCCCGCAGGCUUUUUUCAAGAUAAUGCCCAAGGCAAUUUCAGAUGCAAGGAGAUUAAUCCAACCACAUGUGAAAAUCCCGUAUCCCACUCACUUCUUCCCCUCGAAGGUGUCUAUUAUUUCACUAGAAAAGCUGGAAUUGUGAAUGAAACAAACAUGGAGAACUGUAAACAGACGUGCUUGAAAAACUGUUCAUGCAAAGUUGCUCUGUUUCAGUACGAAGACAAUUCUUCAUAUGGGGAAUGUCUCUUGCCUUCACCAGUUCUUUUACUUAAAAAUGGAACGAAAGACGACAAUAAUUUGAAGUCAUUUGCUUUUAUCAAAAUUUCAAAUGAUAGUGGGAGUGAAAGAGGUUCUGAUACAAAUUCAAAUCCUGGAGACCAUGGAAGACGUGUUGAUGGAAUUUUGACUAUCGGAGAACAUGGAAAAGGAUCUCCGACAACAAAAAUUAUCGCAGGAUUAACCACAGCAACCUUUCUUCUGGUAGGUCUGAUUGCUGGCUUAUCUUGGAUGGUGUUUUUUAGGAAGAAAGCUGAUGGAGAUGAUGGAAUGGAAGAUUACUUAGAUCAACUAUCAGGAAUGCCUACGAGAUUCACUUAUGAAGAACUAAAAGCAGCAACUGCAGAUUUCCAGAAAAAGCUUGGAGAAGGAGGGUUUGGGUCAGUUUUUGAAGGAGACAAGGCCACAGGUGAGAAAAUUGCUGUGAAGCGCCUAGACUCUUUAGGCCAAGGGAAGAAGGAAUUCAUGGCAGAGGUCAAGACCAUAGGAAGCAUCCACCAUAACAACCUGGUGAGGCUAAUUGGCUUCUGUGCAGAAAAAUUGCACAGGCUCUUGGUGUAUGAGUUCAUGUGUAAUGGGUCACUGGACAAAUGGAUUUUUCAUAAAGAGCCCGAGAGACCUCCUCUAGAUUGGCAAACAAGAAGGACCAUUGUUCUAGACAUAGCAAAAGGGCUGGCCUAUCUCCAUGAAGAUUGCAGACAGAGAAUAGUUCAUUUGGAUAUUAAACCCCAAAACAUACUACUGGAUGCUGGCCUUCAUGCAAAGAUAUCCGAUUUUGGCUUGUCUAAGUUGAUUGAUAGGGAUCAAAG
This 1444-nucleotide unclassified non-coding RNA is filed under the name Hevea brasiliensis (rubber tree). Lineage: Eukaryota; Viridiplantae; Streptophyta; Magnoliopsida; Malpighiales; Euphorbiaceae. The record is from RNAcentral.